GGACUACCCGGGUAUCUAAUCCCGUUUGCUCCCCUAGCUUUCGCGCCUCAGCGUCAGAAGAGGUCCAGCAGGUCGCUUUCGCCACCGGAGUUCCUUCCAAUAUCAACGCAUUUCACCGCUCCACUGGAAGUUCCACCUGCCCCUACCUCACUCAAGUCGAUCCGUAUCCCAGGCACUUUUCCGGUUAAGCCGAAAGAUUUCACCCCGGACGUAAUCGACCGCCUACGCGCCCUUUAAGCCCAGUGAUUCCGAACAACGUUUGCACGGUUCGUCUUACCGCGGCUGCUGGCAC
RNAcentral lists this ribosomal RNA (292 nucleotides) under uncultured Planctomycetota bacterium. RNAcentral's name for it is "uncultured planctomycete partial 16S ribosomal RNA". The record is from RNAcentral. Lineage: Bacteria; Pseudomonadati; Planctomycetota.